Puntigrus tetrazona (Sumatra barb) is the source of this 379-nucleotide long non-coding RNA. RefSeq lists it as uncharacterized. The transcript is spliced from 3 exons. The record is from RefSeq and is a predicted model, not a curated record. Lineage: Eukaryota; Metazoa; Chordata; Actinopteri; Cypriniformes; Cyprinidae.
GGAGCUGUGCGUGUUUUUCUCAGUCAAGCCUAAGGCGGGAGAGAAGGAGGUUUCACCAAACACAUUCUUCACAGUGUGGCACGAGUUUUCGUCAGAUUUUAAGGAGCUCUGGAAGAGAGAGAAUAAAUGCCUGCUGCAGGAGCGGUUGAAAGCUGCAGAAGAGACUUUCAGACAAGCACGAGAGAAGGCUAACUACAACGUAAAGCCUAAACAUGCAUCAGGAAUAAAAGCCAAGCUGGGACAGAAGAUGUAAAUUUCUACAACAACAAAACUCCUUUUAGCCCAGAUCUUUUUUUUACUUGACAGUUACUUCAAUAUAAGAAUAAUAGCCAUGAGAGGGUUUGCAUGAUCUUAGUAUAUGAACGUGAUCAGAAUUGUG